AUGGUUCUGACGCAUGUUCAGAGCGACGAGGCGGCCGCGUCGGCCGCCGUGUUCGCGUCGAGGUACGUGCAGGAGCCGGUCCCGAGCUACGAGCUCGGGGCGAGGUCGAUCUCCAAGGACGCGGCGUACCAGAUCAUCCACGACGAGCUGCUGCUGGACGGCAGCCCGCGGCUGAACCUGGCGUCCUUCGUCACCACCUGGAUGGAGCCCGAGUGCGACCGGCUCAUCCUCGAGGGCAUGAACAAGAACUACGCCGACAUGGACGAGUACCCCGUCACCACCGAGCUCCAGAACCGGUGCGUGAACAUCAUAGCGCGGCUGUUCAACGCGCCGGUAGGCGCCGGCGAGACUGCCGUCGGGGUCGGCACGGUCGGGUCCUCGGAGGCAAUAAUGCUCGCCGGCCUGGCGUUCAAGCGGCGCUGGCAGAACCGGCGGAAGGCGGAGGGGAAGCCAUACGACAAGCCCAACAUUGUCACGGGAGCCAAUGUUCAGGUGUGCUGGGAGAAGUUCGCGCGCUACUUCGAGGUGGAGCUCAAGGAGGUGAAGCUGAGCGAAGGGUGCUACGUGAUGGACCCGGACAAGGCCGUGGAGAUGGUGGACGAGAACACCAUCUGCGUCGCCGCCAUCCUCGGCUCCACCCUCACCGGCGAGUUCGAGGACGUCAAGCGCCUCAACGACCUCCUCGCCGCCAAGAACAAGCGAACAAGGUGGGACACCCCGAUCCACGUGGACGCGGCGAGCGGCGGGUUCAUCGCGCCGUUCCUGUACCCCGAGCUGGAGUGGGACUUCCGGCUGCCGCUGGUGAAGAGCAUCAACGUCAGCGGCCACAAGUACGGCCUCGUCUACCCCGGCGUCGGAUGGGUGAUAUGGCGCAACAAGGAGGAUCUCCCCGACGAGCUCAUCUUCCACAUCAACUACCUCGGCGCCGACCAGCCAACCUUCACGCUCAACUUCUCCAAAGGGUCCAGCCAAAUCAUCGCACAAUAUUACCAAUUUCUUCGGCUAGGUUUCGAGGGGUACAAGAAUGUGAUGGAGAACUGCAUGGAGAGCGCCAGAACGCUCCGGGAGGGGCUCCUGCGCACGGGGCGUUUCGACGUCAUCUCCAAGGAAGACGGCGUGCCACUGGUGGCCUUCACCUUCAGGGGCAUCAGGGACGGCUCGCUGGCGUUCAAGCUGUCGGCGAACCUGCGCCGGUUCGGGUGGAUCGUGCCGGCGUACACGAUGCCGGCGAACCUGGAGCACAUGACGGUGCUCCGUGUGGUCGUCCGGGAGGACUUCGGCCGGCCGCUCGCCGAGAGGUUCCUGUCGCACGUGCGCAUGGCGCUGAGCGAGCUGGACCUGGCGGCCAAGGGCCCCGUGCCCAAGAUGAGGCUCACCAUCGAGCUCGGUCCGGCCAGGAGCGCCAAGGAGGAGGCGUCCGUCAAGGUCGUCAAGAGGGAGGCGGUGUCCGGUCACAGGAGCGUGUCGCUUGUUUCCGGGAAGACGAAGGGUGUGUGCUAA
Molecule: ribosomal RNA, 1500 nt
Filed under: Triticum aestivum (bread wheat)
Lineage: Eukaryota; Viridiplantae; Streptophyta; Magnoliopsida; Poales; Poaceae
Description: partial small subunit ribosomal RNA
Source: RNAcentral